GGGGGGCAAGGUUUUUUAAAGGGGGCCCCCCCCCCCCCCCCCCCCCCCGAAAGAAGAGGCCGGGUUUGUCCUUCUGACGACGAGUGACAGACGUACAGAGAGCCGAUUCAAAGCAGACAUUUUUUUAAUUCCUUUUUUUUUUUGUGGUUGUGGAUAAAAACCACUGGAGAGGAAAACCUGCGGGCGUUUUUCUUCUUCUUUUCUUUGCUCUCCGCUGAUUUGAGGCGAGAGAGACGGAUCGUUUUUAACCUUUUAAAUCCAGUAACCUGAAGCUGAUAUUCGACCCGACAGAGACUCGCGUUCUCCUGUGCGGUUUUCUUCUCUGCACGGGAGAAAAGAAUGAUUCCUGGAUGACCUGUUCCUUUAUUUAAAGACGUCUCAAAAUGACCGAAAAGAAACCGCCGAAUUAGCGCCACUUACAGAUUUCAGUCCCCUCGUAAAAAGUUCCUUCAGUCGGCCGAGACGUCCACGCGACAGAUUCCUUCAUUUAAAGUUAGACGUUUCUUAUAUAUAUACAUAUGUUAUUGUGCCAAGACGUCGCCCACUUCCUGCAUGGCGACCCUCUGAGCUCUGAUUGGCUGCCGUGUUUGCGCGUCGUAGCGUCUUUAAUCGGCGGGUUCUGCCCCGUUAGCGCGUGAAUGGGGACAAACUGACGUUAAUCGGCGGCGGCGACGACGUGUCUCCGUCUUCUAUUUGUGGAGCUCUGCGGCGUUUCACCACGAGGACGAGUCCCGGGCCGCGGCGUCCGGUCCUGUAAUGGGCUCCGGAAAAAGAACCCGGCUUUAGGGAAGCUCCCCGACAGACCCGCCCCCUUUCCCCGGGUUAAUAAUACGAAGGUUAUGGGGGGGGGGACUUGUAUUCUUCCACGUGCUUCAUUCCACGGGUUGCACGACCAUCUAGCGUGACCAUUUGCGCGUGUGAGGGGCGGGGCAGGAAGCUCCCGACCACAAGAAGACGUCGGUUUGAUUCCCGACUCGGCGCGUGAGAGCCAGAUGUCGGUCUGUUCUUUAUUCCCUGCGGGUGUUGUUGGUUAAAAGGUUGUGGUUUUUUUUUUUCUUUUGCUUGGAAGCCCUGGAAGUAUUGGUGCGUUCGAGGAGGAUUUCAGUUGGGUUUUUUCUGACCGAGCUGGAAGAAGACGUUUGUUACGCUGAGCUACUUAACGGGAAAUAAGGAAGCAACAAACGCACGACUUUCACCCAGGAGACGGAGCAGACGUCCUAACUACGAACUCACCAACAGAUUAUUCACUGACAGUUUAGGAACUUUAAAAAGAGAAAUUUUAAGAUUUAAACCAAAAUGUCGACACGAGGCUCGUCUCUGCUCACUGGUGGACUGAAGGGAGCGCCGACCCACUGAGGGUCCCUCCUGACCCCUGGAGGUCAAAUCAAGCUCUCUGGGUAUUAACGUGUGGAUGAAAGUUGUUAAUGAGUUCCAAUUGUGUGUCUGCGUGUGUCUGCGUGUGUGUCUGGGCAAAUGUAUUUAUAUUUUGAUUGUCCUCAAGCCGUUUUUAAAAUGACAGACAAUAAAUGCUGAAUACACCAGCUUCACCCGUC
Molecule: long non-coding RNA, 1553 nt
Organism: Gasterosteus aculeatus aculeatus (three-spined stickleback)
Lineage: Eukaryota; Metazoa; Chordata; Actinopteri; Perciformes; Gasterosteidae
Source: Ensembl